This 1217-nucleotide ribosomal RNA is filed under the name metagenome. RNAcentral's name for it is "SSU rRNA". It matches the Rfam family "Eukaryotic small subunit ribosomal RNA", at positions 1 to 1131 of the family's 1831-position model. The record is from RNAcentral.
UCUGGUUGAUCCUGCCAGUAGCCAUAUGCUUGUCUAGAGGAUUAAGCCAUGCAUGUGUAAGUAUUAAUAGAUUUUAAUAGUGAAACUGCGAAUGGCUCAAUAAAACAGUUAUAGUUUAUUCGAUGAUGUUUUGUUAUUUGGAUAACCGUAGUAAUUCUAGGGCUAAUACAUGAACUAAAGAGGAGCAACUUAGAAGUGUUUCUCUGUAUUUAUUAGACUGAAAACUGGUACAGUAGCAAUACUGGCCCCUGGUUGAACCAUGAUAACUCUUACGAAUCGUAUGACCUUGCGUCGACGAUGAAUCGUUCAAGUUUCUGACCUAUCAAUUCAAGAAGGUAGUGUAUUGGACCACCUUGAUUGUAACGGGUACGGAGAAUUAGGGUUCGAUUCCGGAGAGGGAGCCUGAGAAACGGCUACCACUUCCAAGGAAGGCAGCAGGCGCGCAAAUUACCCAAUCUCAAUACGAGGAGGUAGUGAAUAAAAAUAACAAUCCAGAGCUUGAUAAAAGUUUUGGAAUUGGAAUGAGAACAAUGUAAAUACCUUAACGAGGAACAAUUGGAGGGCAAGUCUGGUGCCAGCAGCCGCGGUAAUUCCAGCUCCAAUAGCGUAUGCUAAAGUUGUUGCAGUCAAAAGCUCGUAGUCGGAUUUUUCGUUGUUCACUUUGAAGGGCGUCUUUUCCAGCGGGUAACACCUGUUGGGGGCGCUCAGUGGACAAUAUCAUCAUUUGGUAAACUUCUGGCUGUCCAUUCAUUUGGGCAGUCAUAAAAGGGGUCGGUCGUCAAAAAGCCGGUCUCGGAGUUACCAAUCUUUUACUGUGAAGAAACUUGAGUGUUCGAAGCAAGCAUUCUCUGCCUGAAAAAUUCAGCAUGGGAUAAUGAAAUAGGCUUACGCGUCUAUUUUCGCCGGUUUUCGGACUUUUGCGUGAGAAUGGUCGAUAGGGGCGGUCGGGUACACUCGUACCCAGCGGUCAGAGGUGAAAUUCUUGGAUUCGCGGGAGACGAACUUAUGCGAAAGCGUUUGUCAAGGACGCUUUCUUUGAUCAAGAACGAAAGUUAGGGGAUCGAAGACGAUCAGAUACCGUCGUAGUCUUAACCUUAAACGAUGCCGACUGUAGAUUAGAAGACGUUAAACGAUGGCGGGGGAAACUCCGCCUCAAUGACUCCUCUAGCAUACUGUGAGAAAUCACAAGCGUUUGGGUUCCGGGGGGAGUAUGGUCU